UACGUAGGGUGCAAGCGUUGUCCGGAAUUAUUGGGCGUAAAGAGCUCGUAGGCGGUUUGUCGCGUCUGCUGUGAAAACUCGGGGCUUAACCCCGGGCCUGCAGUGGGUACGGGCAGACUAGAGUGCGGUAGGGGAGACUGGAAUUCCUGGUGUAGCGGUGAAAUGCGCAGAUAUCAGGAGGAACACCGGUGGCGAAGGCGGGUCCUGC
Molecule: ribosomal RNA, 208 nt
Filed under: uncultured bacterium
Lineage: Bacteria
Description: partial 16S ribosomal RNA
Rfam family: Bacterial small subunit ribosomal RNA
Source: RNAcentral